GACGAACGCUGGCGGCGUGCCUAACACAUGCAAGUCGAGCGGAGUCGAUCGACGGAAGCCUUCGGGCGGAAGAUGGUUGACUUAGCGGCGGAUGGGUGAGUAACGCGUGGGCAACCUGCCUCGAAGACCGGGAUAACAGCCCGAAAGGGCUGCUAAUACCGGAUGUGGUCAAGGAUCCGCAUGGAUUUUUGAUUAAAGGGGAAACCCGUUUCGAGAUGGGCCCGCGUCCUAUCAGCUAGUUGGUGAGGUAAAAGCUCACCAAGGCGACGACGGGUAGCCGGCCUGAGAGGGUGACCGGCCACACUGGAACUGAGACACGGUCCAGACUCCUACGGGGGGCAGCAGUGGGGAAUCUUCCACAAUGGGCGAAAGCCUGAUGGAGCGACGCCGCGUGAGCGAAGAAGGCCUCGGUGUAAGCUCUGUCUGAGGACGAAGGAAGUGACGGUACCUCCGGAGGAAGCCACGGCUAACUACGUG
RNAcentral lists this ribosomal RNA (477 nucleotides) under uncultured bacterium. RNAcentral describes it as "bacterial SSU rRNA". It matches the Rfam family "Bacterial small subunit ribosomal RNA", at positions 28 to 507 of the family's 1533-position model. The record is from RNAcentral.